UAGGUGUUAUUACCAGAAUCAGACAGAACUUUUUUUAAUUACUGUGAUAUUUUCGUCUUUUUCUUAAUACCCAGCGUGCCCCUACUAAACGUUACCGGAAAAAACAUAAUUACAGGGAAUGCCACUGCCACGUCAGAAUUUGCUGACGUGUAUUAAAUGAACUCAGCCGUAACGCGAUACAGCGACAGUUACGGCUGAGUUACGGUAUGUUGCGGCUGACUUACGACAAAAAUAUAUGAGUCAUAACAAAACGGCGAAGUAUGAGUAUAACUCAGCCAGACGUUACGUCUGAGUUGUAAAAUGUUGCCUGAGUUAUACUAUAACUCAGGCAACGGUAUGGUUGAGUUAAGGAAUGUCGGCCGAGUUAUAAGAAGUUAUACGAUAACCCAGACAACGUUAUGGCUGAGUUAUGAGAAAACGGCUGACUUAUUUCCUCGACACGACCGAGUUAUAGUUUUGGACGGCUUAGUUAUGGAAUGAUGUGACGGCUGAGUUAUGAUCGAGUGUUAUAAAUCAGCCGUAAAGAGCUCGAUUACUAAAUAACUCAGCCUUGUUACGGCUGACUUAUGUGCAAAAGAUUAAUUACUAUAAUAGCAUCCAGUUACAGCCGAGUUUUAAAACGUUACGGCUGAGUUAGUUGAGUUACGACAUUACACGGCUGACUUAACUUUGUUUUUUUUCCUUUUUUAAUUACUGUAAUAGUAUUCAUGUUGCGACUAACUUAUAGAUUUGCUUGAUGGCUGAGUUAUCAAAUGUUCGUUUGGUGGCUUAAUUGCCACCUCAUCAAUUCAAAACGACGUCGGCUGUAAUAUUUCAUGUCAUCAUUCCAUGUCAGCAUCAUCAAAGGACAAAAAAAA
RNAcentral lists this small RNA (857 nucleotides) under Arabidopsis thaliana (thale cress). Its description in RNAcentral is "ATSL092350". The record is from RNAcentral. Lineage: Eukaryota; Viridiplantae; Streptophyta; Magnoliopsida; Brassicales; Brassicaceae.